AUUGAACGCUGGCGGCAGGCCUAACACAUGCAAGUCGAACGGAGUGGCGGACGGGUGAGUAAUGUCUGGGAAACUGCCCGAUGGCGGGGGAUAACUACGCGAAAGCGUAGCUAAUACCGCAUACUAUUGGAGCGGCCGAUAUCGGAUUAGCUAGUAGGUGGGGUAACGGCUCACCUAGGCGACGAUCCGUAGCUGGUUUGAGAGGACGACCAGCCACACUGGGACUGAGACACGGCCCAGACUCCUACGGGAGGCAGCAGUGGGGAAUUUUGGACAAUGGGGGAAACCCUGAUCCAGCCAUACCGCGUGUGAGAAGAAGGCCUUCGGGUUGUAAAGUACUUUCAGCGAGGAGGCGUUACUCGCAGAAGAAGCACCGGCUAACUCCGUGCCAGCAGCCGCGGUAAUUC
Molecule: ribosomal RNA, 407 nt
Filed under: uncultured bacterium
Lineage: Bacteria
Description: partial 16S ribosomal RNA
Rfam family: Bacterial small subunit ribosomal RNA
Source: RNAcentral